GAGAGAAAAAUGCAAGAAAGAGAACAUCAGAGACCGGAUAAAGGAAGAGACAAUAAGUUCAUCACUAAUAGCCGAGAGAGGGAAUAGACUAGAGGAAGUUAUCAGGCUGUUGACACCACGUCUGUCCACCCUGGAUAACAUGGAGCUGCUUUAUGUAUUUGUGGCAUUGCUCUUCAGUACCAAGUCCUCCGAUGGAGUCACCGUACUGCAGAAACGGGCAGACAUGUUCACGGGGACGGGGAAUGAGUCUGAGACCCUGCACUGUGAACACGAUGAUGCUAACCACUACAGAAUGUACUGGUACAGGCAGGACAGCGGCAGAGGAAUGCGUUUGGUCGCGUAUUCUUUCAGCCAAGGCGAUGUGAACAUAGAGCCGCCCUUCAACGGAUCCAAAUAUGCGAUGGAGCGUCCUGAAGUGAAGAAGUCGUCUCUGCAGAUAAAGGAUUUGGCGGUGGGGGACUCGGCUGUGUAUUUCUGCGCCUCUAGUAUUGCACGCUAACCCAGAACAGCGACGCUACACGACAAUAACCCCUAUUAACCACAUACUGUACACCCU
Anguilla anguilla (European eel) is the source of this 556-nucleotide non-coding RNA. Lineage: Eukaryota; Metazoa; Chordata; Actinopteri; Anguilliformes; Anguillidae. The record is from the annotation of a RefSeq genome assembly.